RNAcentral lists this non-coding RNA (21 nucleotides) under Arabidopsis thaliana (thale cress). Lineage: Eukaryota; Viridiplantae; Streptophyta; Magnoliopsida; Brassicales; Brassicaceae. The record is from RNAcentral.
UGAGCCAGAGCAGCACCGUGG